Molecule: ribosomal RNA, 478 nt
Filed under: uncultured bacterium
Lineage: Bacteria
Description: bacterial SSU rRNA
Rfam family: Bacterial small subunit ribosomal RNA
Source: RNAcentral
AAUCAACGCUGGCGGCGUGCCUCAGACAUGCAAGUCGAACGAUUAAAGCUUUCUUCGGAGAGUGCAUAAAGUGGCGCACGGGUGAGUAACACGUAAGUAAUCUACCUUCGAGUGGGGAAUAACGUCCGGAAACGGACGCUAAUACCGCAUAACGCAGCGGCAUCGCAAGAUGACAGUUGUUAAAGAUUUAUCGCUUGAAGAGGAGCUUGCGGCAGAUUAGCUGUUGGUAAGGUAACGGCUUACCAAGGCUACGAUCUGUAUCCGGUCUAAGAGGACGGUCGGACACACUGACACUGAAUAACGGGUCAGACUCCUACGGGAGGCAGCAGUCGGGAAUUUUGGGCAAUGGGGGAAACCCUGACCCAGCAACGCCGCGUGAAGGAUGAAGUAUUUCGGUAUGUAAACUUCGAAAGAAUAGGAAGAAUUAAUGACGGUACUAUUUAUAAGGUCCGGCUAACUACGUGCCAGCCGCCGCCGU